UCUGUCCCGCCAACACGAUGUCUCUAAUGAGGAGAGGGACUCAUUUUACAUUUACAUUUUUUUUGACACUUUAGUCAUUUAGCAGACGCCCUUAUCCAGAGCGACUUACAGUAGUGAAUGCAUACAUUUCAUACAUUUUUUUCUCCGUACUGGUCCCCCAUGGGAAUCGAACCCACAACCCUGGCAUUGCAAACACCAUGCUCUACCAACUGAGCCACUCGGGACCAAGCCCAUCAUCCCCAGCUCCUUCAUUGUGGCCCCUGUGAUAUGGAGUAUUGAGACCACGGGUACGACAAGCCCAGACCUGAGAACCUGACCCCGGCGAGGGUCCCACUAAAAUACUUUAUGCUACAAUGCUACAAUGGGGACACUCCUCUAAAUUAACUGCGCAUCCAGGGGUAAAUUGGACACUGGAGUUCCUGAGGCAAAAUUCUGGUGGCCCAACAUGAUUGAGGAUGUGAGAUCCUUUGUUGCGGCCUGUUCCACCGGUGCCCAAAGCAAGUCCUCAUGACAGCGACCGGCUGGGUGGCUCCAACCUCUACCCAUCCCUAGCCGGCCCUGGUUCCACCUGUCUGUAGACUUUAUCUCGAUCCCAAGGGCUUACCACUACCCUGGUGGUCGUAGAUCGGUUCUCCAAGGCUGCCCAUUCAUUGCCUUACCCAAGUUACCCUCAGUGAAGGAGAACGCUGAUCUCAUGAUUACCCAUGUCUUUCGACUACACGGACUUCCCCAGGACAGUUCGUUGCACGGUAUUGGAAGGCCUUCUGCUCCCUGUAGAGGUGUCGGUGAAUCUUUCCUCAGGGUUCCACCCACAGUCUAAUGAGCAAACUGAGCGGGCUAACCAGGAGCUGAUUCAUCUCCACUCAGGCCAGCAACUGGAGCAAGUUCCUCGUCUGGGCGGAAUAUGCUCAUAACACACUGCCAAACUCGUUGCCGUUCGAUUGUCAAUCCCCCCCCCAUUUCCUGAACAAGAGGCCGAAGCUGGGUUGUCAUCAGCCGAGGCGUUCAUUCCACAAUGUUGACCCACCUGGAUUCCGAGCACGAUCCUCCUUGCUCCGCUCCUCUGCCAGACACCAACACCAGGCAAACCGGCAUCAAGGGCCUCUUCGUCUCCUCCGACCGGGUCAACGGGUGAGGCUCUCCACCUGUGAUCUUCCCUUAAAGGUGGACUUGCGGAAGCUUGCUCCACGUUACAUAGGACCAUUCAAGAUCCUGAAUCGCAUCACCCGGUCCCCUAUCGUUUCCAGAUUCCCAGGCCUAUGAGGGUCUGUCCAUUCUUCAAAGUCUAAAGAUGGUAAGGACCAGUUCCUUCUCUCCCCCAGACAUGCCCCUCUGCCCCCUCAAAAAUGAUUGCACAAGCAAGACCUGAAAACUCCUUGAAUGUCAUUGAAAUGGUGUGUGAAGACUUCCAGCAGAUUCUGUCCUCAAGCGACCAGCUGCACUACACAUCACCUCACUUACAUGACUCAAACUCUCAGCUGAUGAUCAUUGGAACAUACACACUAGUCAGAGCCCCAGCCAGUAUGAGGGAUGGAAGUCCUGAUCUGUCUGUAGGCUGAAGAGUGAAUAUAGAACUCAAGAUACCUCAUUCGCAAGCCACUAACCCAGGGCCUACGAGUCUCCUCUUCCAGUAAAGAAAGAAAACUACAGAGAUCUGAUGACAUCUGUUACCCCCAAUAUCUAUUUUGCCAUAUCCACAAUAACUAUCAACCUGGCAUUUAUGCUUUCCACAACCUGAGUCAAAUUGAUAACCUUACCAAUAAAAG
Molecule: long non-coding RNA, 1766 nt
Filed under: Salmo salar (Atlantic salmon)
Lineage: Eukaryota; Metazoa; Chordata; Actinopteri; Salmoniformes; Salmonidae
Description: lncRNA (ENSSSAG00000082508.1)
Source: RNAcentral